CGCAAGCCUGACGGAGCAACGCCGCGUGAGGGAGGAAGGCCUGUGGGUUGUAAACCUCUUUUCUCGGGGAAGAAGGUCUGACGGUACCUGAGGAAUCAGCAUCGGCUAACUCCGUGCCAGCAGCCGCGGUAAGACGGAGGAUGCAAGCGUUAUUCGGAAUUAUUGGGCGUAAAGCGUCCGUAGGCGGCUAAUCAAGUCUGCUGUCAAAGCCCACAGCUCAACUGUGGAGAGGCAGUGGAAACUGAAUAGCUAGAGUGUGGUAGGGGCAGAGGGAAUUCCUGGUGUAGCGGUGAAAUGCGUAGAUAUCAGGAAGAACACCAGUGGCGAAGGCGCUCUGCUGGGCCAUAACUGACGCUGAUGGACGAAAGCUAGGGGAGCG
Molecule: ribosomal RNA, 379 nt
Filed under: uncultured cyanobacterium
Lineage: Bacteria; Bacillati; Cyanobacteriota
Description: bacterial SSU rRNA
Rfam family: Bacterial small subunit ribosomal RNA
Source: RNAcentral